GGUUAAGCGACUAAGCGUACACGGUGGAUGCCCUGGCAGUCAGAGGCGAUGAAGGACGUGCUAAUCUGCGAUAAGCGUCGGUAAGGUGAUAUGAACCGUUAUAACCGGCGAUUUCCGAAUGGGGAAACCCAGUGUGUUUCGACACACUAUCAUUAACUGAAUCCAUAGGUUAAUGAGGCGAACCGGGGGAACUGAAACAUCUAAGUACCCCGAGGAAAAGAAAUCAACCGAGAUUCCCCCAGUAGCGGCGAGCGAACGGGGAGCAGCCCAGAGCCUGAAUCAGUGUGUGUGUUAGUGGAAGCGUCUGGAAAGGCGCGCGAUACAGGGUGACAGCCCCGUACACAAAAAUGCACAUGCUGUGAGCUCGAUGAGUAGGGCGGGACACGUGGUAUCCUGUCUGAAUAUGGGGGGACCAUCCUCCAAGGCUAAAUACUCCUGACUGACCGAUAGUGAACCAGUACCGUGAGGGAAAGGCGAAAAGAACCCCGGCGAGGGGAGUGAAAAAGAACCUGAAACCGUGUACGUACAAGCAGUGGGAGCACGCUUAGGCGUGUGACUGCGUACCUUUUGUAUAAUGGGUCAGCGACUUAUAUUCUGUAGCAAGGUUAACCGAAUAGGGGAGCCGAAGGGAAACCGAGUCUUAACUGGGCGUUAAGUUGCAGGGUAUAGACCCGAAACCCGGUGAUCUAGCCAUGGGCAGGUUGAAGGUUGGGUAACACUAACUGGAGGACCGAACCGACUAAUGUUGAAAAAUUAGCGGAUGACUUGUGGCUGGGGGUGAAAGGCCAAUCAAACCGGGAGAUAGCUGGUUCUCCCCGAAAGCUAUUUAGGUAGCGCCUCGUGAAUUCAUCUCCGGGGGUAGAGCACUGUUUCGGCAAGGGGGUCAUCCCGACUUACCAACCCGAUGCAAACUGCGAAUACCGGAGAAUGUUAUCACGGGAGACACACGGCGGGUGCUAACGUCCGUCGUGAAGAGGGAAACAACCCAGACCGCCAGCUAAGGUCCCAAAGUCAUGGUUAAGUGGGAAACGAUGUGGGAAGGCCCAGACAGCCAGGAUGUUGGCUUAGAAGCAGCCAUCAUUUAAAGAAAGCGUAAUAGCUCACUGGUCGAGUCGGCCUGCGCGGAAGAUGUAACGGGGCUAAACCAUGCACCGAAGCUGCGGCAGCGACGCUUAUGCGUUGUUGGGUAGGGGAGCGUUCUGUAAGCCUGCGAAGGUGUGCUGUGAGGCAUGCUGGAGGUAUCAGAAGUGCGAAUGCUGACAUAAGUAACGAUAAAGCGGGUGAAAAGCCCGCUCGCCGGAAGACCAAGGGUUCCUGUCCAACGUUAAUCGGGGCAGGGUGAGUCGACCCCUAAGGCGAGGCCGAAAGGCGUAGUCGAUGGGAAACAGGUUAAUAUUCCUGUACUUGGUGUUACUGCGAAGGGGGGACGGAGAAGGCUAUGUUGGCCGGGCGACGGUUGUCCCGGUUUAAGCGUGUAGGCUGGUUUUCCAGGCAAAUCCGGAAAAUCAAGGCUGAGGCGUGAUGACGAGGCACUACGGUGCUGAAGCAACAAAUGCCCUGCUUCCAGGAAAAGCCUCUAAGCAUCAGGUAACAUCAAAUCGUACCCCAAACCGACACAGGUGGUCAGGUAGAGAAUACCAAGGCGCUUGAGAGAACUCGGGUGAAGGAACUAGGCAAAAUGGUGCCGUAACUUCGGGAGAAGGCACGCUGAUAUGUAGGUGAAGUCCCUUGCGGAUGGAGCUGAAAUCAGUCGAAGAUACCAGCUGGCUGCAACUGUUUAUUAAAAACACAGCACUGUGCAAACACGAAAGUGGACGUAUACGGUGUGACGCCUGCCCGGUGCCGGAAGGUUAAUUGAUGGGGUUAGCCGCAAGGCGAAGCUCUUGAUCGAAGCCCCGGUAAACGGCGGCCGUAACUAUAACGGUCCUAAGGUAGCGAAAUUCCUUGUCGGGUAAGUUCCGACCUGCACGAAUGGCGUAAUGAUGGCCAGGCUGUCUCCACCCGAGACUCAGUGAAAUUGAACUCGCUGUGAAGAUGCAGUGUACCCGCGGCAAGACGGAAAGACCCCGUGAACCUUUACUAUAGCUUGACACUGAACAUUGAGCCUUGAUGUGUAGGAUAGGUGGGAGGCUUUGAAGUGUGGACGCCAGUCUGCAUGGAGCCGACCUUGAAAUACCACCCUUUAAUGUUUGAUGUUCUAACGUUGACCCGUAAUCCGGGUUGCGGACAGUGUCUGGUGGGUAGUUUGACUGGGGCGGUCUCCUCCUAAAGAGUAACGGAGGAGCACGAAGGUUGGCUAAUCCUGGUCGGACAUCAGGAGGUUAGUGCAAUGGCAUAAGCCAGCUUGACUGCGAGCGUGACGGCGCGAGCAGGUGCGAAAGCAGGUCAUAGUGAUCCGGUGGUUCUGAAUGGAAGGGCCAUCGCUCAACGGAUAAAAGGUACUCCGGGGAUAACAGGCUGAUACCGCCCAAGAGUUCAUAUCGACGGCGGUGUUUGGCACCUCGAUGUCGGCUCAUCACAUCCUGGGGCUGAAGUAGGUCCCAAGGGUAUGGCUGUUCGCCAUUUAAAGUGGUACGCGAGCUGGGUUUAGAACGUCGUGAGACAGUUCGGUCCCUAUCUGCCGUGGGCGCUGGAGAACUGAGGGAGGCUGCUCCUAGUACGAGAGGACCGGAGUGGACGCAUCACUGGUGUUCGGGUUGUCAUGCCAAUGGCACUGCCCGGUAGCUAAAUGCGGAAGAGAUAAGUGCUGAAAGCAUCUAAGCACGAAACUUGCCCCGAGAUGAGUUCUCCCUGACCCUUUAAGGGUCCUGAAGGAACGUUGAAGACGACGACGUUGAUAGGCCGGGUGUGUAAGCGCAGCGAUGCGUUGAGCUAACCGGUACUAAUGAACCGUGAGGCUUAACCUU
Molecule: ribosomal RNA, 2906 nt
Filed under: Escherichia coli
Lineage: Bacteria; Pseudomonadati; Pseudomonadota; Gammaproteobacteria; Enterobacterales; Enterobacteriaceae
Description: 23S ribosomal RNA
Rfam family: Bacterial large subunit ribosomal RNA
Source: RNAcentral